RNAcentral lists this ribosomal RNA (207 nucleotides) under uncultured bacterium. RNAcentral's name for it is "partial 16S ribosomal RNA". It matches the Rfam family "Bacterial small subunit ribosomal RNA", at positions 568 to 774 of the family's 1533-position model. The record is from RNAcentral.
CGCGUAGGCGGUUUCGGAAGUCAAGGGUGAAAGCCCCGAGCUCAACUCGGGAAUUGCCUUUGAAACCACGGAACUAGAGUGUUGGAGAGGAAAGCGGAAUUUCCAGUGUAGCGGUGAAAUGCGUAGAUAUUGGAAGGAACAUCUGAGGCGAAGGCGGCUUUCUGGACAGACACUGACGCUGAGGCGCGAAAGCCAGGGGAGCGAACG